Long non-coding RNA from Monomorium pharaonis (pharaoh ant), 983 nucleotides. RefSeq lists it as uncharacterized. The record is from RefSeq and is a predicted model, not a curated record. Lineage: Eukaryota; Metazoa; Arthropoda; Insecta; Hymenoptera; Formicidae. The transcript is spliced from 2 exons.
AUAACAAAAAGUCAUGUUAAAACUAACAUGGACACAAUGACGAUGAUAUUUGUUUCAUUCAGCAAUGUUUUCAGGACAUAAUCUAUCGUAUCUAAUCUCCCUUAGUAAAUCGCGUUCGGAUCUAUUUGCGUUCGGCGUACCGAUUGAAAACAAGCCUGACGGGGUGAGAGAAUGGAAUUAACCAUUCUGUGAAGUGGGCGGCUGAUAUAUUUAACACAAUCGUCGUCGUGGGACAUUCCUCCUUACUUCCUCGUAACCGGGAACCUAAUUUUUUUACGAUUUUUUUUUGUAUUUUAUGUACUCUUUAUAUUUGUAUUUUGAAUGAAAGAAAACUGCAGAAAGAAAGACUUAUAGUUCGCUUCAAAUGCAAGAAAGAAAAAGUAAAAUACGUGACUUGUCAACUACAUGGCGAUGAAAAAUUGUAUCGGCAAUUGUUGAACACAUCCAGCGUAAUCGACAACAUGCUCACCGAAUUGGUUAUCGCUGAAGGAAGGACGAAGAUAACAUCAGCCGACCAAACGAUUUAUCUCAUAGUUGUUAUACGUAUUUCAUCGUACGACUACUGGUCUCCCGUUAUCUCUCGCGAAUUUUCCAUUUUGUCCUGCCAAGAAUAAAUUAAUAAGUAAUUCUCCAGACGUCUAAAAAUAUGUAAUAAAUAAGAAAAUACGAAUACAUCAAAGAUUUUUUUCAUCUUUUUUUUCAACAUAUUUAUUAUCCAUAAAAUUUAUUAUCCAAUUGGCCGACGUUCAAAAGGUCGUAAGGUUUUCGCAACAACAUUUCGAAUGCGAGGCACAUAUUUCUGCAUUUGACUUUCCGAUGUGUCAUUGUCUUAUUGCUGUACGCGACUGGCGUAAAGCAAAGUGUUUGCUUCAAGUUAUCGGCUGCACCUAUAAAUCGUUAAUCUGAAGAGUCUCAUACGGGCUCCUUCCGGCGCUUGCUUCAGUUCAGUCGAGUACUCUGGGUACAGAUUCGUUGCGACCAAC